RNAcentral lists this ribosomal RNA (425 nucleotides) under uncultured bacterium. Its description in RNAcentral is "bacterial SSU rRNA". It matches the Rfam family "Bacterial small subunit ribosomal RNA", at positions 355 to 776 of the family's 1533-position model. The record is from RNAcentral.
UAGGGAAUAUUGGGCAAUGGAGGCAACUCUGACCCAGCCAUGCCGCGUGAAGGAUGAAGGCCCUCUGGGUUGUAAACUUCUUUUAUCAGGGAAGAAACCUUCGAUUUCGAAUCGAAGCUGACGGUACCUGAAGAAUAAGCACCGGCUAACUCCGUGCCAGCAGCCGCGGUAAUACGGAGGGUGCAAGCGUUAUCCGGAUUUACUGGGUUUAAAGGGUGCGUAGGCGGAUUAUUAAGUCCGUGGUGAAAUCUUUGGGCUCAACCCAAAAAUUGCCAUUGAUACUAUUAGUCUUGAAUGUAGUUGAGGUGGGCGGAAUGAGUCAUGUAGCGGUGAAAUGCUUAGAUAUGACUCAGAACACCAAUUGCGAAGGCAGCUCACUAAACUAAUAUUGACGCUGAGGCACGAAAGCGUGGGGAGCAAACAGG